Molecule: non-coding RNA, 104 nt
Organism: Acanthosepion pharaonis
Lineage: Eukaryota; Metazoa; Mollusca; Cephalopoda; Sepiida; Sepiidae
Source: the annotation of a GenBank genome assembly
AUCACGUUUAAACAACGAUUCUCGUACGAUCACCGAAGUUAAGCAACGUCAAGUCUGGUCAGUACCUAGAUGGCUGACCGCUUGGGAAUACCACAUGCUGUAAG